RNAcentral lists this unclassified non-coding RNA (354 nucleotides) under soil metagenome. Its description in RNAcentral is "partial contains 5.8S ribosomal RNA, internal transcribed spacer 2, and large subunit ribosomal RNA". The stretch from base 1 to 120 matches the Rfam family "5.8S ribosomal RNA", at positions 35 to 154 of the family's 154-position model. The record is from RNAcentral.
GAUGAAGAACGUAGUGAAAUGCGAUAAGUAAUGUGAAUUGCAGAAUUCAGUGAAUCAUCGAAUCUUUGAACGCACAUUGCGCCCAUUAGUAUUCUAGUGGGCAUGCCUGUUCGAGCGUCAUUAAGUCCACUUAAGCCCUGCUUAGUGUUGGGAGACUGCUCCAGCGGUGCUACCCUGUAGCUACCCUGCAGCUCCUCAAAGACAGCGGCGGAGUUGUGGUAUCCUCUGAGCUUAGUAACUUGUUCUAGCUUUCGAGUACACCACUUCCCCUGCCGUAAAACCCUUAAUUUUUAAUGGUUGACCUCGGAUCAGGUAGGAAUACCCGCUGAACUUAAGCAUAUCAAAAGCGGAGGA